AGUGAACGCUGGCGGUAGGCCUAACACAUGCAAGUCGAACGGCAGCACAGUAAGAGCUUGCUCUUACGGGUGGCGAGUGGCGGACGGGUGAGGAAUACAUCGGAAUCUACUUUUUCGAGGGGGAUAACGUAGGGAAACUUACGCUAAUACCGCAUACGACCUACGGGUGAAAGCAGGGGAUCUUCGGACCUUGCGCGAUUGAAUGAGCCGAUGUCGGAUUAGCUAGUUGGCGGGGUAAAGGCCCACCAAGGCGACGAUCCGUAGCUGGUCUGAGAGGAUGAUCAGCCACACUGGAACUGAGACACGGUCCAGACUCCUACGGGAGGCAGCAGUGGGGAAUAUUGGACAAAGGGCGCAAGCCUGAUCCAGCCAUACCGCGUGGGUGAAGAAGGCCUUCGGGUUGUAAAGCCCUUUUGUUGGGAAAGAAAAGCAGCAGGUUAAUACCCCGCUGUUCUGACGGUACCCAAAGAAUAAGCACCGGCUAACUUCGUG
Molecule: ribosomal RNA, 492 nt
Filed under: uncultured bacterium
Lineage: Bacteria
Description: partial 16S ribosomal RNA
Rfam family: Bacterial small subunit ribosomal RNA
Source: RNAcentral